AGAGUUUGAUCCUGGCUCAGAGUGAACGCUGGCGGCAUGCCUAACACAUGCAAGUCGAACGGUAACAGGCCCGCAAGGGUGCUGACGAGUGGCGGACGGGUGAGGAAUACAUCGGAAUUUGCCCAGUCGUGGGGGAUAACGUAGGGAAACUUACGCUAAUACCGCAUACGACCUUUUGGUGAAAGCGGGGGAUCAGCAAUGACCUCGCGCGGAUGGAUAAGCCGAUGUCGGAUUAGCUAGUUGGCGGGGUAAGAGCCCACCAAGGCGACGAUCCGUAGCUGGUCUGAGAGGAUGAUCAGCCACACUGGGACUGAGACACGGCCCAGACUCCUACGGGAGGCAGCAGUGGGGAAUAUUGGACAAUGGGGGCAACCCUGAUCCAGCAAUGCCGCGUGUGUGAAGAAGGCCUUCGGGUUGUAAAGCACUUUUAUCCGGAACGAAACGCGCAGGGUGAAUAUCCUUGCGAACUGACGGUACCGGAGGAAUAAGCACCGGCUAACUUCGUGCCAGCAGCCGCGGUAAUACGAAGGGUGCAAGCGUUACUCGGAAUUACUGGGCGUAAAGGGUGCGUAGGUGGUUUUUUAAGUCCGUUGUGAAAUCCCUGGGCUCAACCUGGGAAUGGCAGUGGAUACUGGAAAGCUAGAGUGCGGUAGAGGGUAGUGGAAUUCCCGGUGUAGCAGUGAAAUGCGUAGAUAUCGGAAGGAACACCAGUGGCGAAAGCGACUUCCUGGUCGAAUACUGACGUUCAUGUGCGAAAGCGUGGGGAGCAAACAGGAUUAGAUACCCUAGUAGUCC
This 795-nucleotide ribosomal RNA is filed under the name uncultured bacterium. RNAcentral describes it as "bacterial SSU rRNA". It matches the Rfam family "Bacterial small subunit ribosomal RNA", at positions 8 to 796 of the family's 1533-position model. The record is from RNAcentral.